CGGACGGGUGAGUAACGCGUGGGUAACCUGCCCUGUACAGGGGGAUAACAGCUGGAAACGGCUGCUAAUACCGCAUAAGCGCACGAGGAGACAUCUCCUUGUGUGAAAAACUCCGGUGGUACAGGAUGGGCCCGCGUCUGAUUAGCUGGUUGGCAGGGUAACGGCCUACCAAGGCAACGACCAGUAGCCGGUCUGAGAGGAUGAACGGCCACAUUGGAACUGAGACACGGUCCAA
RNAcentral lists this ribosomal RNA (235 nucleotides) under uncultured bacterium. RNAcentral's name for it is "partial 16S ribosomal RNA". It matches the Rfam family "Bacterial small subunit ribosomal RNA", at positions 99 to 334 of the family's 1533-position model. The record is from RNAcentral.